This 73-nucleotide transfer RNA is filed under the name Oceanispirochaeta sp. M1. It matches the Rfam family "tRNA". Rfam says of the family: Transfer RNA (tRNA) molecules are approximately 80 nucleotides in length. Their secondary structure includes four short double-helical elements and three loops (D, anti-codon, and T loops). Lineage: Bacteria; Pseudomonadati; Spirochaetota; Spirochaetia; Spirochaetales; Spirochaetaceae. The record is from Rfam by way of RNAcentral. RNAcentral also lists the same sequence under 1 other name.
CGGGCUGUAGCGCAGGGGCUAGCGCACGCCGUUCGGGACGGUGAGGUCGGAGGUUCAAAUCCUCUCAGCCCGA